This 87-nucleotide small RNA is filed under the name Flavobacterium sp. 120. RNAcentral's name for it is "Flavo-1 RNA". It matches the Rfam family "Flavo-1 RNA". The record is from RNAcentral. Lineage: Bacteria; Pseudomonadati; Bacteroidota; Flavobacteriia; Flavobacteriales; Flavobacteriaceae.
GGUUUGCGUGAGUGAUGGCAGUGGAGCUCUUUUUUGAGCCGAUUUUUUUCGGCUUAAAAAAAGCGGGAACAUACAGCACGACCCAAA